Molecule: unclassified non-coding RNA, 266 nt
Filed under: Hevea brasiliensis (rubber tree)
Lineage: Eukaryota; Viridiplantae; Streptophyta; Magnoliopsida; Malpighiales; Euphorbiaceae
Source: RNAcentral
GUUUAUGACCUCAUGAAAUCAUGUCUAAGAGUUCCAUCUCGAGAUGUUAUAGAAGUUGUGACUGACAAUAGAAACAGUCAACCAUCCAUUCACUCUUAGUUGAUGUAUUUACAAAUUCUUAACCCCAUUUAAUAUUCUUAAAGUAAUUCAGAUUCUCAUUCAAUUCUUUCAAGCUGUAUAAUGCCACCAGCACAUAGGUAAUAUCCAUCCCCAUCACCCUUCAAUAACCUUGUAUAAUAUGUAGUUUUACAGAUACUGUGGCGGCC